ACAUUUCUUUUAUUAAAAUUUUAAAAGUAUUUUCUGCUCAAUGAUUGAAUUUAAAUAGCUGCAGUAUUUUGACUGUACAAAGGUAGCAUAAUAAUUAGUUUAUUAAUUGUGAACUGGAAUGAAUGAAAAUAUGAGAGAUUAGUUUUGUUAAUUAAAUUAUUAUAAUUUUAUUUUUAAGUAAAAAAGCUUAAUUAAUUUUUAGGGACGAUAAGACCCUAUAGAGAUUUAAAUUUUAUUUGGGUUUAAUAAUAAUAGUUUGUUAAGUAUUUAAAUCUAUUAAAAAAUUUUUAUUGGGGUGAUAAUUAAAUAUUUAACUUUAAUUUUUUAUAUCAAUUAUUUUUGAUUUUGUUGAUCCAAUUUUUAUUGAUUAUAAGAUAAAGCUACCUUAGGGAUAACAGCGUAAUUUUAAUGGGGAGUUCUUAUUUAUAUUAAAUUUUGCGACCUCGAUGUUGAAUUAAGAUAAGGUUUUGGGGUAGGUUUUAAAUUUUCUAAGUCUGUUCGACUUUUAAAUUCUUACAUGAUCUG
Molecule: ribosomal RNA, 525 nt
Filed under: Anaceratagallia venosa
Lineage: Eukaryota; Metazoa; Arthropoda; Insecta; Hemiptera; Cicadellidae
Description: partial large subunit ribosomal RNA
Source: RNAcentral